Molecule: long non-coding RNA, 510 nt
Organism: Lagenorhynchus albirostris (white-beaked dolphin)
Lineage: Eukaryota; Metazoa; Chordata; Mammalia; Artiodactyla; Delphinidae
Exons: 5
Source: RefSeq, a predicted model, not a curated record
CAAAUGUGCUCUGAGGAAAGUAGAAAACGGCGGGUUCGUAAAGACAACUGACAAAGACGUUCCAGAGACAUUCCGGGCCACUGGACUGAGUGGUUUCUGUUGUGCCAAUAAGGAGGAAAAUAGAAGCUUCUUCACCUUUGAGUGCAGUCGGGUCUUCAUUCAAUGGCAGGUACUAUGGAAGUAAUCCUCCUCACCUACCUACAAAGACAAGGGCAAGAAAGGCAGGAAUAAGACCCAACAUUGCACAAAACAAUGACACAGUGGUGAAGAUAUUCGAGAUGUUACCACUGGAACUUCUCUCACUUCACCACCCCUGACCUCAGACGUUUGGGAGGAGGAAGCCUGAACAGUAAGAUGAGAACCUAGACCGGGGCUGCCCCCCAGGAGUGGAGAAUCCAAUAACAGCCUCACCACUGCAGGCAGGUGUGUCGUUUGGAGGCGACUUGCCUGGCUGUCUAAAAAGUGACACACAAUGCCGUGUCCUUUCAGGCACUAAUGAAAGGCCAUCUG